AUCAGUGGCGAACGGGUGAGUAACACGUGGGCAACCUGCCCCUGACUCUGGAAUAACCUCGGGAAACCGAGGCUAAUACCGGAUACGACCUCGAGCGGCAUCGCUCGAGGUGGAAAGUUUUUCGGUCAGGGAUGGGCCCGCGGCCUAUCAGCUUGUUGGUGGGGUAAUGGCCUACCAAGGCGACUACGGGUAGCCGGCCUGAGAGGGCGACCGGCCACACUGGGACUGAGAUACGGCCCAG
This 241-nucleotide ribosomal RNA is filed under the name uncultured bacterium. Its description in RNAcentral is "partial 16S ribosomal RNA". It matches the Rfam family "Bacterial small subunit ribosomal RNA", at positions 91 to 334 of the family's 1533-position model. The record is from RNAcentral.